GACGGAGGAUGCAAGCGUUAUCCGGAAUGAUUGGGCGUAAAGCGUCCGCAGGUGGCAGUUCAAGUCUGCUGUCAAAGACCGGGGCUUAACUUCGGAAAGGCAGUGGAAACUGAACAGCUAGAGUAUGGUAGGGGCAGAGGGAAUUCCUGGUGUAGCGGUGAAAUGCGUAGAGAUCAGGAAGAACAUCAGUGGCGAAGGCGGUCUGCUGGGCCGUUGCUGACGCUGAGGCGCGACAGCGUGGGGAGCAAACAGG
This 253-nucleotide ribosomal RNA is filed under the name uncultured bacterium. RNAcentral's name for it is "partial 16S ribosomal RNA". It matches the Rfam family "Bacterial small subunit ribosomal RNA", at positions 524 to 776 of the family's 1533-position model. The record is from RNAcentral.